RNAcentral lists this ribosomal RNA (237 nucleotides) under uncultured bacterium. Its description in RNAcentral is "partial 16S ribosomal RNA". It matches the Rfam family "Bacterial small subunit ribosomal RNA", at positions 98 to 334 of the family's 1533-position model. The record is from RNAcentral.
CCGCACGGGUGAGUAACGCGUAUGCAACUUACCUAUCGGAGGGGGACUAACCGGCGAAAGUCGGACUAAUACCGCAUGAAGCAGGGGCCCCGCAUGGGGAUAUUUGCUAAAGAUUCAUCGCUGAUAGAUAGGCAUGCGUUCCAUUAGGCAGUUGGCGGGGUAACGGCCCACCAAGCCGACGAUGGAUAGGGGUUCUGAGAGGAAGGUCCCCCACAUUGGUACUGAGACACGGACCAA